AGUCUGAACGUUUAGCGAGUGCUGCCUCUAAAGAGAGCAAUCACUACACUUACGGCUGAGACUUUGCGCUUAGUAGUUCAGAGGCCCCCAGGCAGACUACAGACCGUGACAAAAGGUGUAGAGUCUCAUUUGUACAGAUUGGAUUCGUCACAAAUUCACCAGAUCAAAAAUUCCAGAUAAAGUGUUUCACGCCUCACCUGAAGAUCAUGAAAAAUAUGGUGGGGAUCCACAGAACCCUCAUAAACUGCAUAUUGUUACCAGAAUAAAAAGUACAAAAUACGUCCAUAUUGGGAAAAAGAUAUAAUAAAGAAGCUUGGAUUGGAAAAAUCACAUAUCCCUCAAGUUCACCAGAAUUCCCUUCAGUGAAUGCAAAAUUGAAAGUGGUUAAGCAUUUGAUAAGAAUUGAAGUUGCCACAAGGACUUCCAACAGAGGAGAACAUGUCUAACACAUGCCUCAAAAGCACUGGGGAGUUAGUAGUGCAGUGGCAUCUGAAACCUGUGGAGUAGAAAGCACAUGAGUCCUAGUGCCCUAGCAGCUUCCGAUUGGAAAAUGCAAAUUGUUUUUAUUUAAAGAUGAUACCUGGUGGGGUGGGGAGAAGUAAGAAUUGUAAGGGAGGUUCAAUAGUGGGAAAUUCUGUGACAGCUGAUUGAAGAUGAUGAUGAAGAACCUCUGCAUUCUAGUUACCCUUUGCUUUCCUUUGCCUCUUGUAAAAUUUGGCUUGGCAACAAUGACAUUGCCAUGCUUACUGUCCCAAUAUCCAUCCUGUCAUAGAUCUUAAUGUUUUUGAUCAUUGCAUUAAAGUGGAAGUGCCACCCACAGUGAAACCAGAUCCCAUAAAUAAAUAAGCUUAAAGGCAAAAAAAAAAAAAAACCAAAAAAAACUCUGAUCCCGAAUGCUCGGGGAGACUGAUUUGAACAAUAAUUAAACUCUGGUCUCCCACACAGCAGGAUCU
RNAcentral lists this long non-coding RNA (953 nucleotides) under Homo sapiens (human). RNAcentral's name for it is "non-protein coding lnc-BEND6-3:2". The record is from RNAcentral. Lineage: Eukaryota; Metazoa; Chordata; Mammalia; Primates; Hominidae.